RNAcentral lists this long non-coding RNA (1155 nucleotides) under Sorghum bicolor (sorghum). RNAcentral's name for it is "long non-coding RNA (SBIC_LNC013097)". Lineage: Eukaryota; Viridiplantae; Streptophyta; Magnoliopsida; Poales; Poaceae. The record is from RNAcentral.
AAGUGGUUAACACAAAGGGGAAUUCUUUUGUCUACAAGGAUAUCAAUGAAUAUCAACUUGCUUAAUUAUCUUUUGCCUUCUUUUAGUUAUCAUCUUUUUUCUGUGUCUUCAACUGUGAUGCAAACCUGAAUAUCCAAAUGACCCUUGAUGCAAUUCUGAGCUCAAUUACAAUUUACUACCCAGAAUUGAUUUUGGACUUAAUAUGACCCAUAGCGUUAGCACAAUGCUGACACCCUCCCUUUUUCUCCCUUUGUUUUCAACUUUUUCAUCUCUUGGUUAUGUUAAGUGAUUUUGAAGUUUAUUUUUUCUUCCAUUCUGUUGGGACACCAAAUGUGUCGGUAGCGUUAGUACAGCAGCCGUCAUCGAAUGAGAAUGAUGCCUCAGCCAGUGAGCAGCAGUGUCUGGGUGAGGAAUCUGACAACCCUAUGCCAGCAUGCAGUAAAUUGUAUUGGUAAUAAGGAAGGACGAGGAAGAAAUGCUUCUAGCUAGCUGUAAGGGAAAGACAAACAAUUUUGGAUACGGCGUAGUUAGCUUUAUAAGAAGAAAUUUUCAACUUCGAACCAUCGUUGUGAAAAAUUCUGUGAUAAGAAGUACCAUGAAUUCAUAUAGAUCAGCUGUGUUUCUCAACUUUUUCUAUAUAGCAUUUGUUAAAACCGAAUAUGUGUUGCCAAAUAAAGUACUCUAAUUUUCAUAGACUUUUUUAUUAGUAAGGGUAGGUUUGUUUUUUUUAGUUUUAUGAUUUAUUUUAGUUUUGUAAUUUUUUUCUAGAUGUUACCGUAGCGUUAGCACGGGCAAUAUACUAGUGUAAGAAAUUGAACACCUUAUACUUUCCUUGAGGAGGCUCUAAACGAUUCCAGAAUUCUGGUAUAUGGUAGGUGCUUUCUUUGAAAGGUGCAAGAUACCCAUUUCGGUUUGAAUAACCCGAAUCCACAAGAUAAUAUUUUCCUAAAUAAAACAAGUUAGUAAGGUACAUAAUAAUACAACCGGCUAACAUAAUCUAGUAGAGGUGAAAACUCCCAUCGGCUUAUUGCCUGCUUCUAUUUUCUCUUUGCAUGCAUCAAACAAGUUCCUCACAAAAGAAUCACUCCAAUCUGCCUUGUUACUCAUACUUGAAGCAAACAAAAAAAACAAUCAAGAGCAGCAAUUUUACCAUAC